UUACGGCCAUAUCACGUUGAAACUUCACUUUUCAUAGGAUCACUGAAGUUAAGCAACGUCGAUCCUGAUCAGUACCUAGUUGUGUGACCAUUUGGGAAUACCAGGUGCUGUAA
This is a non-coding RNA of Acanthosepion pharaonis, 113 nucleotides long. The record is from the annotation of a GenBank genome assembly. NCBI's taxonomy places the organism in Eukaryota, Metazoa, Mollusca, Cephalopoda, Sepiida, Sepiidae.